GGGGUCGACCGGAAUUGACAGGAUGGAGAUAAGUAUGUAAGCAUGCAGCGCGUUGGGUGAAUUAGCGCUUUAAUCUGAACGCUCAAACUUUCAAAUGGCGAAAAUCAAUACGCCUUAGCUGCCUAAUUUAGAAUUAGAAUAGCUUUUGUCCCGUCGUUGUUCUGUUUCAUUGCAGCGGCACCAGGGGCAUCGAAAAAUGAAACUGGCUUGUUUGGGGUACGGCAAACAGGUGAGAAACAGUACCUAAGGAUGCGGUACAGGUAAUCGGUUAACCUUCUUCAUCCCGACAAUUAAAUAACAGAUAAGCAUGUAGAAAGCGUACCUUAUACCAUGUUUGGACGAGGGUUCGAAUCCCUCCGGCUCCACAA
This 368-nucleotide transfer-messenger RNA is filed under the name Sphingobacteriaceae. RNAcentral's name for it is "Mucilaginibacter sp001705515 Standard tmRNA". It matches the Rfam family "transfer-messenger RNA". From Rfam's summary of the family: Bacterial tmRNA, also known as 10Sa RNA or SsrA, is named for its dual tRNA and mRNA-like properties. Its role is to liberate the mRNA from a stalled ribosome. To accomplish this part of the tmRNA is used as a reading frame that ends in a translation stop signal. Lineage: Bacteria; Pseudomonadati; Bacteroidota; Sphingobacteriia; Sphingobacteriales. The record is from RNAcentral. RNAcentral also lists the same sequence under 1 other name.